AAACAGAAGAAUUAUUGAUUUCGAAAUGGGAUUCUAUUCGACACGCGCUAGAUGUAUUCCAUAACAUUAAUAUUCAUAAUUAUUCCAACAACUUUUCAUUUGCUCUCUCGAUCUUAAAUUAUCGUGAGCAAGAACCGAAACGCUGUUUUAGCUAGUCGCAAGUAAAGAUUCUACGUUGGGUAGAGAAGCAGAAUUGUUUUUCGAGAAGUGUUUGAAUGGAUGUGUUAUAUUACUGAGAAUGUGAGGUGGUUAGCGGUGGUCGUUGGAGGUGGUCGGAGGUGGUAAGGGGUGGUUACAGGUGAUCGAGGUGGACGAGGAGAACUAGGUGGACGAGGAGGACGAGCAUUUCUGCGCGAUGUAACUCGUGGUGGUUUGCGGUGGCUGUUGGGGGUGGUUGGCGGUGGUCGGAGAUGGCCGAGGAGGAGGACGAGGAAGACGAGGAUUUGUGCUCGGUAUAACCCGAGGUGGUCAGCAGUGGUCGUUGGAGGUGGUCGGAGGUGGUUGCGGGUGAUCGAGGUGGAGCACGAGAACUUA
Long non-coding RNA from Neodiprion fabricii, 534 nucleotides. RefSeq lists it as uncharacterized. The transcript is spliced from 3 exons. Lineage: Eukaryota; Metazoa; Arthropoda; Insecta; Hymenoptera; Diprionidae. The record is from RefSeq and is a predicted model, not a curated record.